RNAcentral lists this ribosomal RNA (493 nucleotides) under uncultured bacterium. RNAcentral describes it as "partial 16S ribosomal RNA". It matches the Rfam family "Bacterial small subunit ribosomal RNA", at positions 29 to 523 of the family's 1533-position model. The record is from RNAcentral.
AUUGAACGCUGGCGGCAUGCUUUACACAUGCAAGUCGAACGGUAACAGGUUAAGCUGACGAGUGGCGAACGGGUGAGUAAUGCAUCGGAACGUGCCCGAUCGUGGGGGAUAACGCAGCGAAAGCUGCGCUAAUACCGCAUACGAUCUGAGGAUGAAAGCGGGGGACCGUAAGGCCUCGCGCGAUCGGAGCGGCCGAUGUCAGAUUAGGUAGUUGGUGGGGUAAAGGCUCACCAAGCCAACGAUCUGUAGCUGGUCUGAGAGGACGACCAGCCACGCUGGGACUGAGACACGGCCCAGACUCCUACGGGAGGCAACAGUGGGGAAUUUUGGACAAUGGGCGAAAGCCUGAUCAAGCAAUGCCGCGUGCAGGAAGAAGGCCUUCGGGUUGUAAACUGCUUUUGUACGGAGCGAAAAGGUCUCCUCUAAUACAGGGGGCUCAUGACGGUACCGUAAGAAUAAGCACCGGCUAACUACGUGCCAGCCGCCGCGGUAA